GGGCGGUGGAGCUUGCGGUGGAGCUUGCGGCGGAGCUUGCGGCGCGGAUCCAGGUGUUGAAUUUGGGUUGUUGUCGGACCUGGGAGCGAUUUGGUAAUCUGAGGGAGCACCGGAUCCCACCACUGUAACCCCACCACCACCACUGAACAGGGGUUAGUGAAGAAAGAGCUUGCAAAGCAACAAAAGAUAGUACAGCGAUGCAAUCCUCUGCUUAUGCAAAAUGGAUUUCAUUCUCUUGUAUUGUUCCCUUGGCUUGUCAAUGAUGCAGUGAUGAAAAAGAUUGAGAUGAUGAAAGCUGUUCUCGUGUUUCUUAUACUGUGCAGGGAGCGAAGAUGGAUUUUCUACUGCAAACUUACUAGCUUUACAUGAUCUGAAUCAAGGGUUUACUGGACUCACAAAUAGAUUGAUUAGGAUUUUGACUCGAAUGGAAUCCAUUCAAGUUUUAAUGGAAAAUAAUACCCUUCAGUUUUUUA
Molecule: long non-coding RNA, 473 nt
Organism: Populus trichocarpa (black cottonwood)
Lineage: Eukaryota; Viridiplantae; Streptophyta; Magnoliopsida; Malpighiales; Salicaceae
Exons: 2
Source: RefSeq, a predicted model, not a curated record